RNAcentral lists this ribosomal RNA (460 nucleotides) under uncultured bacterium. Its description in RNAcentral is "partial 16S ribosomal RNA". It matches the Rfam family "Bacterial small subunit ribosomal RNA", at positions 338 to 795 of the family's 1533-position model. The record is from RNAcentral.
CCUACGGGUGGCAGCAGUGAGGAAUAUUGGUCAAUGGACGCAAGCCUGAACCAGCCAAGCCGCGUGAAGGAUGACGGCCCUAUGGGUUGUAAACUUCUUUUAUAUGGGGAUAAAUUGCAGUAUGUAUACCGGUUUGCAAGUACCUUAUGAAUAAGGAUCGGCUAACUCCGUGCCAGCAGCCGCGGUAAUACGGAGGAUCCGAGCGUUAUCCGGAUUUAUUGGGUUUAAAGGGUGCGUAGGCGGGUGGUUAAGUCAGUGGUGAAAGUUCGGGGCUCAACCGUAGAAUUGCAGUUGAUACUGGCGGGCUUGAGUGUAGUAGAGGUAGGCGGAAUGCGUGGUGUAGCGGUGAAAUGCUUAGAGAUCACGAAGAACUCCGAUUGCGAAGGCAGCCUACUGGACUGUAACUGACGCUGAUGCUCGAAAGUGUGGGUAGCAAACAGGAUUAGAUACCCUAGUAGUC